CCCGCUCUGCUCCCAGGUGGCCUGCAGCCCUGGGACACCCGGCAGCCCCAGGCCCAAACACCGGGCCCUCCCCGAAGCAGGGACGAAUGAGCCCUGACCCAGCCGCCCAGCCGAGCCCCCCGCGCCCCCGUGGGGGUGUGAAGGGACCCAGGAGCCCCGGGCCCCAGAGGCAGUCGUCUGGAGACCAUGAACCGUUGGUGCCGGUGAUAAGGGCCCCUCCCUCCUGCCAGGGCUUCUGAAAGGCAGGGGAGCGCCCUGAGCGUGGGGGGGCAGCAGGCGGGGGCUGCACUCACACCCCAAGACAACCUUCCCACUUCGGAGACAAAGGAAAACAGAUGUCGGGAGGAGGGCCCCAGAGUCCCAAACUCCAUCGCGCUCCUUGUCCACGGACGCCCCCGGCCUGCACACCCAGGGUGACUCUUCCGGAAGCUUCCACCCGGGGCCUAUGUCCUGUGCCUUGUGCCCCCACUGCCUGGCGAGCGAGCGUCCUUGGCAUGUGUUUGCCCCACAGAAACGGGGUUACCUCCCUCGGUGUGUGGGGUCCCCGGGCCGGGUACCCAGCGCACAGUAGGGUCUGCGAUCCUCCAAAGCCGGGGAGCCCCUGGAUGUGGGAAGAAGUUCCGACCCAAAGGGAGACCAGGCCUCCCACAAUCUAAAGGCUUGGUCCAGACUCCGCUUUACAGAUGAGCAAACUGAGACUCGGGGAGGAGAAAGCAAGUCAGAGGCUCAGGGCGGCCCCCGUGUGGGCCUCUGACCCUGAAACCGAGCGGGCUUCCAUCGCCCUGCCAGCAAAACGGGUGCAAACCGCGUCCUCCGGGCGCAGAUGCCCGCUCUCAACGGCCAGGACCGGGACCGGCCCUAGGAACUGAGACACGACCCGGCCGGCGCGGCGGCGCGGGCGGCCACGCAAACCUGACAAUAAAACCCGAAAGCCCA
Long non-coding RNA from Canis lupus familiaris (dog), 936 nucleotides. RefSeq lists it as uncharacterized. The record is from RefSeq and is a predicted model, not a curated record. The transcript has 2 exons. NCBI's taxonomy places the organism in Eukaryota, Metazoa, Chordata, Mammalia, Carnivora, Canidae.